RNAcentral lists this ribosomal RNA (650 nucleotides) under Acinetobacter baumannii OIFC032. Its description in RNAcentral is "bacterial SSU rRNA". It matches the Rfam family "Bacterial small subunit ribosomal RNA", at positions 55 to 699 of the family's 1533-position model. The record is from RNAcentral. Lineage: Bacteria; Pseudomonadati; Pseudomonadota; Gammaproteobacteria; Moraxellales; Moraxellaceae.
AUGCAAGUCGAGCGGGGGAAGGUAGCUUGCUACUGGACCUAGCGGCGGACGGGUGAGUAAUGCUUAGGAAUCUGCCUAUUAGUGGGGGACAACAUUUCGAAAGGGAUGCUAAUACCGCAUACGUCCUACGGGAGAAAGCAGGGGAUCUUCGGACCUUGCGCUAAUAGAUGAGCCUAAGUCGGAUUAGCUAGUUGGUGGGGUAAAGGCCUACCAAGGCGACGAUCUGUAGCGGGUCUGAGAGGAUGAUCCGCCACACUGGGACUGAGACACGGCCCAGACUCCUACGGGAGGCAGCAGUGGGGAAUAUUGGACAAUGGGGGGAACCCUGAUCCAGCCAUGCCGCGUGUGUGAAGAAGGCCUUAUGGUUGUAAAGCACUUUAAGCGAGGAGGAGGCUACUUUAGUUAAUACCUAGAGAUAGUGGACGUUACUCGCAGAAUAAGCACCGGCUAACUCUGUGCCAGCAGCCGCGGUAAUACAGAGGGUGCGAGCGUUAAUCGGAUUUACUGGGCGUAAAGCGUGCGUAGGCGGCUUAUUAAGUCGGAUGUGAAAUCCCCGAGCUUAACUUGGGAAUUGCAUUCGAUACUGGUGAGCUAGAGUAUGGGAGAGGAUGGUAGAAUUCCAGGUGUAGCGGUGAAAUGCGUAGAGAUCU